This 72-nucleotide transfer RNA is filed under the name Camelus bactrianus (Bactrian camel). It matches the Rfam family "tRNA". Rfam says of the family: Transfer RNA (tRNA) molecules are approximately 80 nucleotides in length. Their secondary structure includes four short double-helical elements and three loops (D, anti-codon, and T loops). RNAcentral also lists the same sequence under 2 other names. Lineage: Eukaryota; Metazoa; Chordata; Mammalia; Artiodactyla; Camelidae. The record is from Rfam by way of RNAcentral.
GGGGAUAUAGCUCAGUGGUAGAGCACAUGCUUGGCAUGCAUAAGGUCCUGGGUUCAAUCCCCAGUGCCUCUG